GUUGAGAUUUGCAAAUAUAGAAUUAAAAUUAAUUCUGCAAGUAUUCAAUGGCAAUUCAUUUCCAUGUCUCUUGACACUUAUUAAAUUUUGUCUAUUUUUAAUAAUUUCAAAAGGAGUAAGUUCUAUAAUUGGGAUUCAAUACAAUGAGACUUUUCAUAUGGAAUGGUCUGUAUGGUAAACAAUCAAAUUUUGCCCAUAUUUGGUCUUCUUAACUAGGAGAUCACCAACUAAAUUGAAAUUGUCUUGCCCAAAAUAUUUCAAAAUAAAUCAUUAUUAAAAAUCAUCUAGAUCUUAAGAACAAAACUUAUUUGACAUAUAUAACAAUUAGAAUGAAUUAUACACAAUAUCAUAUUAAACUUAUUAAAUUCUACAAGCUCAUAACAAUCACCAAUUUUAUAUAAAUACUCCUUUUCCAAAGGUAUUUUCACAAACCAUGUUAACUCGUUGACAUUACACAUAUAUAUUUAUAAUGUUGAAAUUUCUGAAGGUUGUUUGCUUGUUUCAUUCCAUGGAAGUGACACUAAAUAAUAGUUCAAUCUUUGUACCAUUUGAUAAUUGGAAACAUUGAUGGUCCUGAAUUCAUAAUAGGUUAAAUUAAUGAGAAAACACACUUGACAUGGUAAUGCCGAUCUUUAUAUCUUCUGGUAAUGAAAUUAUAAACGUCACCCUGAUCUCUUUAGUCCUCUGUGAUAUAACUGCUACUUUUGAUCUCAGGUUCAAAUGACUAACAACUUAAAUGUAUAUCUUAAAAUGAUCCUCAGUAUAAAAUGCUUCUGGUGACCAUUGUAUUUUCCACCUUAAGAACUCCCAAGUGAAAAUGUGUGAAUCCUAAUUAAUCGGUUCAAUGAUUUUGUUCAGUUUUCAACAAUUCAACUUUCAUUUUAUUUUAACUUGAGUAGGUUUUUGCUGUUUCUUUUCUUUAUUCAUUGUAUAUAAGAUGGCUUCAUUGUUGUAAAUAGACAUUAAUCCUGGGUUUGUUAUUUGAUUAUAUAAUGCUGAUAUUUGUUUGAAAGCUGUCAUUCUUUUUAUUUUUCUGAUACUUUUGUGAGCAUUUUACGAUUUGGCAUAAAGCUGUGCUUUUCUGUAUAUGCCAGUACCAAAGUGGCAUUAUUCAGUUGGGAUUAAAAUGUCCCCAGUUGUUGUUCAGAAGUCAUGCUCACUGUUAAAGGCUGCCAUCAUUUAAAUUUAUAAGCAAAUUCCUAGAGAACAUGCAUACCAUACUGUGCAUGAUUCUAUUCCAGAAUUCAUUGUUUCAAAAUUUCUUUGGUUUCUUGCGUGAUAAAUGUUAAUACGAAUUAAUGUAUUUGUUCAUCACAUUUAUUUAUGAUUUUAUUUUCCAAGUAAACUUUAAUGAGGAAUAAUUGUUAUGUAAAUAAAAUGUAAAUAAUGAUAGGUGACUGGUUUUAUAGUGUAAGUAACAUGUAAUAUUUAGUUCUACCAUAUAUAUCAUUUUUUCUUACGUUUCUCCAAAAUCAAUGAAAAUAAAUCUUUUUCAUUUUUAGCAUAAUAAAUCCAGAAAUUACUCCAACCUUCAAUGUAAUCUUUUGAAAUCUAAAAGAGUGGUCAAAAUAACACUAAUUAAUCUCCAGAGAAAAAUGUUUAUACCUUUACUACAUGUACUGAUUGAAAGGUACAACAAAACUUAUAGAAAUUCACUUGCAGCUUGUCAUAUUUGGUCUGUGAAUAAUAAUAUGAAAACUGCAAGGUUAUUUGCAACUUUCAAAUCCCUAAAUUACUUUACUUUGAAAAUCCAUCAAUAGAUUACAAACAGUUGUUGUUUUUUCCCCUUUAAACACUUUUUUUCUCUUUACACCCACCUUUUAAUCAUCCAUUAAGACAAUAUAUGGUUUCUCUUUGACAUAAGAUCUAAGAUUUGAUUCAACACAUAGGCUCUAUUUCACAAUGUAUGAAAAUCUUAUAUUAAAAUGAUCACUUGUCCAGAUUUGAUUAUUUGUUUAUGAAUUAAUUUUGUUUUAUUUUUGCUUUCCAUGUAGCUUAUUGACACGACUU
Molecule: long non-coding RNA, 2010 nt
Filed under: Mytilus galloprovincialis (Mediterranean mussel)
Lineage: Eukaryota; Metazoa; Mollusca; Bivalvia; Mytilida; Mytilidae
Source: RNAcentral